CCCAUCGCUCCUACCGAUUGAAUGAUCCAGUGAAAUGUUCGGAUUAUGGCGACGGGGGCGGUUCGCUACCCACGACGUCACGAGAAUUCUAUUGAACCUUAUCAUUUAGAGGAAGGAGACGUCGUUA
RNAcentral lists this non-coding RNA (127 nucleotides) under Capsicum annuum. Its description in RNAcentral is "Eukaryotic small subunit ribosomal RNA". It matches the Rfam family "Eukaryotic small subunit ribosomal RNA", at positions 1672 to 1794 of the family's 1831-position model. Lineage: Eukaryota; Viridiplantae; Streptophyta; Magnoliopsida; Solanales; Solanaceae. The record is from Rfam by way of RNAcentral.